This 215-nucleotide long non-coding RNA is filed under the name Salmo trutta (river trout). RNAcentral's name for it is "lncRNA (ENSSTUG00000012874.1)". The record is from RNAcentral. Lineage: Eukaryota; Metazoa; Chordata; Actinopteri; Salmoniformes; Salmonidae.
CUGACCCCGCCUCUCCACAGUUCCGCCUUCAGGCUCAGGCUCUAAGCCGUUAUUUCUCAGAGCUGUAUGAGUUGUCUCCCUGGAGCGCCUACUACCUACGCUCAGGAAUUACUGCCUUCAGUGAAGGAGCAGAUGGACUGAACGUGUUCUACUGGAGUAAGUUCUCGGGCCCUGGGGGCGUUGCCAUGGAGAUCCAGCGGUGGAGUACAAAGCGC